GGUCAGUAAAUAGGAAUAUCCACAUUUCUAGAAGGCUAAAUAGAAGAAAAAAAAUCCAUGAGCUGAUUCAUGUCAUGGUCUUCAGAGAAGGAGAGGGGGCCAAACACUCUAAUCAACCAACGCCGCCUCUUAUGGCUUCAAAAUAAGGUUACAAGGAAGUUUCUUCUACCUGCUCUGCAAUUAAGGUCAUGGAAGGAGCAAGCAAGAACGGGACCUAGCCAAC
RNAcentral lists this long non-coding RNA (223 nucleotides) under Elaeis guineensis (African oil palm). RNAcentral's name for it is "long non-coding RNA (EGUI_LNC026528)". Lineage: Eukaryota; Viridiplantae; Streptophyta; Magnoliopsida; Arecales; Arecaceae. The record is from RNAcentral.